Molecule: long non-coding RNA, 266 nt
Filed under: Panicum hallii
Lineage: Eukaryota; Viridiplantae; Streptophyta; Magnoliopsida; Poales; Poaceae
Description: long non-coding RNA (PHAL_LNC000415)
Source: RNAcentral
GGUUCAGAUGAAGGAAGGGCUGAAACAAGGCACAAACUUUUAAAUGGGGUAAAUAAAUAUGAGCAAUCCGUGAGAAUAGCAAACCCCUAUCUCUUAUAAAGAAGAAGAUAGAUAGGUCCGCGAGUUGAGACAGAGAAGUUAUGACUAAUCAAGUAGGAGUUUACCCACGAGAGUCAGAGGCUGCCUCAUCAAAGGGGUAUAGAAAUAAUUCAGAAGCACUAUGGCCCGAAGCGAAGGGCAGGAACGAACGGAAUCAAUGUGUUCCA